This 420-nucleotide ribosomal RNA is filed under the name uncultured bacterium. RNAcentral's name for it is "bacterial SSU rRNA". It matches the Rfam family "Bacterial small subunit ribosomal RNA", at positions 356 to 773 of the family's 1533-position model. The record is from RNAcentral.
GAGGAAUAUUGGUCAAUGGAGGCAACUCUGAACCAGCCAUGCCGCGUGAAGGAUGAAGGUCCUCUGGAUUGUAAACUUCUUUUAUAGAAGAAGAAACCCCAGUAUUCUUACUGGGUUGACGGUACUCUAUGAAUAAGCACCGGCUAACUCCGUGCCAGCAGCCGCGGUAAUACGGAGGGUGCAAGCGUUAUCCGGAUUCACUGGGUUUAAAGGGAGCGUAGGUGGGUUGGUAAGUCAGCGGUGAAAUCCCCGAGCUUAACUCGGGAACUGCCAUUGAUACUAUCAAUCUUGAAUACUGUGGAGGUAAGCGGAAUAUAUCAUGUAGCGGUGAAAUGCUUAGAUAUGAUAUAGAACACCGAUAGCGAAGGCAGCUUACUACGCAGUGAUUGACACUGAGGCUCGAAAGCGUGGGGAUCAAAC